RNAcentral lists this ribosomal RNA (508 nucleotides) under uncultured bacterium. RNAcentral describes it as "bacterial SSU rRNA". It matches the Rfam family "Bacterial small subunit ribosomal RNA", at positions 975 to 1482 of the family's 1533-position model. The record is from RNAcentral.
CCAGGCUUGAACAGCGAGUGACACACUCCGAAAGGGGUCUUCCGCAAGGACACUCGUAGAGGUGCUGCAUGGCUGUCGUCAGCUCGUGUCGUGAGAUGUUGGGUUAAGUCCCGCAACGAGCGCAACCCUUGUUUGCUGUUGCCAUCACGUUAUGGUGGGCACUCUGCAGAGACUGCCGGUGAUAAACCGGAGGAAGGUGGGGAUGACGUCAAGUCAGCAUGGCCUUUAUGUCUGGGGCUACACACGUGCUACAAUGGCCGGUACAAACCGUCGCGAUACCGUCAGGUGGAGCUAAUCGGAGAAAGCCGGUCUCAGUUCGGAUUGCAGGCUGCAACUCGCCUGCAUGAAGUUGGAAUCGCUAGUAAUCGCGGAUCAGCACGCCGCGGUGAAUACGUUCCCGGGCCUUGUACACACCGCCCGUCACAUCACGAAAGCCGGUUGUACUAGAAGUCGCCAUACCAACCCGCAAGGGAGAGAGGCGCCUAAGGUAUGGUCGGUGAUUGGGGUG